This 909-nucleotide ribosomal RNA is filed under the name uncultured bacterium. RNAcentral describes it as "bacterial SSU rRNA". It matches the Rfam family "Bacterial small subunit ribosomal RNA", at positions 10 to 916 of the family's 1533-position model. The record is from RNAcentral.
AGUUUGAUCCUGGCUCAGGAUGAACGCUGGCGGCGUGCUUAACACAUGCAAGUCGAACGAAGCAUUUAAGACAGAUUACUUCGGUUUGAAGUCUUUUAUGACUGAGUGGCGGACGGGUGAGUAACGCGUGGGUAACCUGCCUCAUACAGGGGGAUAGCAGCUGGAAACGGCUGGUAAUACCGCAUAAGCGCACAGUACCACAUGGUACAGUGUGAAAAACUCCGGUGGUAUGAGAUGGACCCGCGUCUGAUUAGCUAGUUGGCGGGGUAACGGCCCACCAAGGCGACGAUCAGUAGCCGACCUGAGAGGGUGACCGGCCACAUUGGGACUGAGACACGGCCCAGACUCCUACGGGAGGCAGCAGUGGGGAAUAUUGCACAAUGGAGGAAACUCUGAUGCAGCGACGCCGCGUGAGUGAAGAAGUAGUUCGCUAUGUAAAGCUCUAUCAGCAGGGAAGAUAGUGACGGUACCUGACUAAGAAGCUCCGGCUAAAUACGUGCCAGCAGCCGCGGUAAUACGUAUGGAGCAAGCGUUAUCCGGAUUUACUGGGUGUAAAGGGAGUGUAGGUGGCCAGGCAAGUCAGAAGUGAAAGCCCGGGGCUCAACCCCGGGACUGCUUUUGAAACUGCAGGGCUAGAGUGCAGGAGGGGCAAGUGGAAUUCCUAGUGUAGCGGUGAAAUGCGUAGAUAUUAGGAGGAACACCAGUGGCGAAGGCGGCUUGCUGGACUGUAACUGACACUGAGGCUCGAAAGCGUGGGGAGCAAACAGGAUUAGAUACCCUGGUAGUUCACGCCGUAAACGAUGAAUACUAGGUGUCGGGGCACAUAAGUGCUCCGGUGCCGCAGCAAACGCAAUAAGUAUUCCACCUGGGGAGUACGUUCGCAAGAAUGAAACUCAAAGGAAUUGACGG